Molecule: long non-coding RNA, 802 nt
Organism: Hypanus sabinus (Atlantic stingray)
Lineage: Eukaryota; Metazoa; Chordata; Chondrichthyes; Myliobatiformes; Dasyatidae
Exons: 3
Source: RefSeq, a predicted model, not a curated record
CGGCUGUCGCAUUGGGGAACGAAUCACUGGACGGAGAAAAUGCCUUCCAUGUUGGAUAGUUACAGGAUUGUACAGAAAAUAUUGUAUAUGUUCAUUGCCGUCAUUGGAGUUCCUGAUAGAUUAUGAACUGGGAGCUAAGCACAUUACCUCAUCUGCAUACCAUCAAGAAUCGCAAGGAGCCUUGGAAAGGUUUCAUUCUACCCUCAAGACUGUGAUUAGGACAUAUUGUGUGGAAAAUGAAAACGAUUCGGAUGAGGGUUGCCACAAUGGAAGUAACACAAAAGAUUCCAAUUAAAAGAAAAUAAUAAUUUUUAAAGACCAUCAAGAUAGAAUAAACAUUAAUCAUGUGAAAAAUGAAACAAACAACAGCAUUCUGAACCAGAAUUGAACCAAAACAGAACCAAAUCCGAUUCGAACCCCGGAGCAGCCCGGAGUAGGCCCAAAGCCUCGCUUAUCCGUUCGUCACGCAGCGGGCAUGGAGCACAGCAGCACCGGCAGUCUUAUAUACUCAAAGCCAUGGCGAUCACUCGCGCGGAAAUGAGCGAAAAGGUCUGUCGUCCUGACCGAUAUCCCGCCUUUUAUGUCUAUGUGGGCCGGUGUUUCAAUUGGCCAACGUUGGUACAGCGAAAGUCUACGGCACAAUUUACCACAGGAGAGAGAAAAAAAAACCCUUUGUCCCUUUGUGGGGUCCAGGGAGUUGAUGUCGUUUUGAUUUAGAUCAAAAAACUUGCUGUCUGUUCCCGAGUAAAUACAAAUGCAAAAAAUAAAUAAUAAUAAUUUAAGAUCCCCCGUGUCUCUUUCG